Molecule: antisense RNA, 75 nt
Filed under: Streptomyces malaysiensis
Lineage: Bacteria; Bacillati; Actinomycetota; Actinomycetes; Kitasatosporales; Streptomycetaceae
Description: ASpks TB sRNA
Rfam family: ASpks TB sRNA
Source: Rfam by way of RNAcentral
CUUGAUGGAGCCCAGCCAGAGCGGCUGGUCCUCCGGGCGGUUCUGUCCGUAGGUGGCCAGGAGCGCCUGGGCCUC